UUUGCCUCAUUUCGAUCGUUGAUUGACUAAGAGAUCUUAUCUCUGCUCUUAAAUUUUCGAUCUAAUUUUCAUGGACCAAGAGAUCUUAUCUCCACACUUGACUUUUAGCUCAGUUUUUUGCCGAUUGGAAGAUCUUAUCUUUGUGCUUGAAUUUUCGAUCUAGUUUUCAUCGGUCAGAAGAUCUUAUCUCCAUAUUUGACUUUUGACUCGGUAUUCAACCAACCAGAAGAUCUUAUCGCCGUGGUUUACUUUAAAAUUUUUUGGACUGAUAUCGCUAGCAUCUGGAAUAAAUGCAUCAUGCCUCGAGGGCAUAAAAAUUAAUUAUUUGGUUGAAAAUGAAGGGACUUGACUUUUUAAAAAGUAAUCCAUCGUAUCUUCCCUCAUUAUUGCUUGAAC
This 396-nucleotide long non-coding RNA is filed under the name Elaeis guineensis (African oil palm). RNAcentral's name for it is "long non-coding RNA (EGUI_LNC058668)". Lineage: Eukaryota; Viridiplantae; Streptophyta; Magnoliopsida; Arecales; Arecaceae. The record is from RNAcentral.